UUUACUGAAACACCAUGAAUUUCGAUCAUACAUUCCAAACAUGGGUUGCUAAAAAUCCGCUGUUUAUACCACGAAGAAAAGGCAUUGAAAUUGAAGCUCAAAAUUGGCUCAGGUACGCGCCGAAAAGACUGAAAAGGAAAACAUUAACUUUACCUGCUUCAGAUAGAAGACCAUAGCAAAAAUAAGUUUAGUUUGAUACCAUGCGUAAUCGCUUUUUGUUUGUUUUGAAAUAUAGGUAGGUAUAUGUUAUGGGUUCA
Long non-coding RNA from Dendroctonus ponderosae (mountain pine beetle), 257 nucleotides. RefSeq lists it as uncharacterized. The record is from RefSeq and is a predicted model, not a curated record. The transcript has 2 exons. Lineage: Eukaryota; Metazoa; Arthropoda; Insecta; Coleoptera; Curculionidae.